Molecule: long non-coding RNA, 678 nt
Organism: Lingula anatina
Lineage: Eukaryota; Metazoa; Brachiopoda; Lingulata; Lingulida; Lingulidae
Source: RefSeq, a predicted model, not a curated record
AGGUGAUCCGUGAGCCAGGUUAUGAACCUCAACCCAUCUUUGAAAGUACUAAUCUUGGUAGCUAUGGAGAAACAACAGAAACAGAUGACUAUCUUGAUGAUCCAGUACCAUCUUAUUCACCAAGACAUUCCAGGACAUAUUCAGCACCUGCACCUAGGGCUCCAAGCCCUAUCCUGUACAGAUCUUCCUUACGUGAUCGUUUCGAUGAGCGUCCUUACUCACCAUCCGCUGCAGACAGGAUACGAAGACGUGUAGACACUGCCUUAGCAAGAUCUCGUUCUCCAUCACCAUAUACCUCGCCUAGACUACGUGGCAGCCAUUACGAUUCACUGGAUGAUCUCGCAGUUGAGUUUGAGCUUGCAAGAGAUAGAGACAGGAGGUACUGAGCUGCGCUAAACCAGUGAGGUUCAUUUUCAGUUUAGAAGUGUGACACAUAUGUAGUUUCUAGUGCUCUUACACAAGCAAUACUAGCACAGCUUUUAGAUUUUAGUCUGAAAACUACCUCUGAUACAAUUAAUAUUUUGUUAGGAAUUUGUAAAGUUGUGACAAAAAAUUGGUGCUCUGAGGUGAGAUAUUAAAAUUCUGUGAUUAGGAAAACAAGUUCAUGAGCUAAUCACGUCAAAAAGUUUCUGAUGUCCUUAUUUAAAGCAGGUCACAUAAAUUAAAUACUGAAAAAUA